UACGGAGGUGGCAAGCGUUGUUCGGAAUUACUGGGCGUAAAGGGCGCGUAGGCGGCAUGGCAAGUCAGGUGUGAAAGCCCCGGGCUCAACUCGGGAACUGCAUCUGAAACUGCUGUGCUUGAGUCCUGGAGGGGGUAGUGGAAUUCCCAGUGUAGCGGUGAAAUGCGUAGAUAUUGGGAGGAACACCGGUGGCGAAGGCGGCUACCUGGACAGUGACUUACGCUGAGGCGCGAAAGCUAGGGGAGCGAACUGG
RNAcentral lists this ribosomal RNA (253 nucleotides) under uncultured Acidobacteriota bacterium. RNAcentral describes it as "uncultured Acidobacteria bacterium partial 16S ribosomal RNA". It matches the Rfam family "Bacterial small subunit ribosomal RNA", at positions 524 to 776 of the family's 1533-position model. The record is from RNAcentral. Lineage: Bacteria; Pseudomonadati; Acidobacteriota.